This is a small nucleolar RNA of Lactuca sativa (garden lettuce), 89 nucleotides long. RefSeq annotates it as small nucleolar RNA snoR14. The record is from RefSeq and is a predicted model, not a curated record. NCBI's taxonomy places the organism in Eukaryota, Viridiplantae, Streptophyta, Magnoliopsida, Asterales, Asteraceae.
GCGAAGUGACGAUAAAAUUCAAUGCUCUGUCAAUCCUCUGACAAACUUUGAUUGAUGUUAAACUUUGAAUCUCGACAGGUUCUGAUCGC